Molecule: ribosomal RNA, 698 nt
Filed under: uncultured Bacilli bacterium
Lineage: Bacteria; Bacillati; Bacillota; Bacilli
Description: bacterial SSU rRNA
Rfam family: Bacterial small subunit ribosomal RNA
Source: RNAcentral
AACGAGUUCUGAUUAUUGAAAGGUGCUUGCAUCUUGAUUUAAUUUUGAACGAGUGGCGGACGGGUGAGUAACACGUGGGUAACCUGCCCUUAAGUGGGGGAUAACAUUUGGAAACAGAUGCUAAUACCGCAUAAAUCCAAGAACCGCAUGGUUCUUGGCUGAAAGAUGGCGCAAGCUAUCGCUUUUGGAUGGACCCGCGGCGUAUUAGCUAGUUGGUGAGGUAACGGCUCACCAAGGCAAUGAUACGUAGCCGAACUGAGAGGUUGAUCGGCCACAUUGGGACUGAGACACGGCCCAAACUCCUACGGGAGGCAGCAGUAGGGAAUCUUCCACAAUGGACGCAAGUCUGAUGGAGCAACGCCGCGUGAGUGAAGAAGGCUUUCGGGUCGUAAAACUCUGUUGUUGGAGAAGAAUGGUCGGCAGAGUAACUGUUGUCGACGUGACGGUAUCCAACCAGAAAGCCACGGCUAACUACGUGCCAGCAGCCGCGGUAAUACGUAGGUGGCAAGCGUUAUCCGGAUUUAUUGGGCGUAAAGCGAGCGCAGGCGGUUUUUUAAGUCUGAUGUGAAAGCCCUCGGCUUAACCGAGGAAGUGCAUCGGAAACUGGGAAACUUGAGUGCAGAAGAGGACAGUGGAACUCCAUGUGUAGCGGUGAUAUGCGUAGAUAUAUGGAAGUACACCAGUGGCGAAGGCGGCUG